Molecule: ribosomal RNA, 305 nt
Filed under: uncultured bacterium
Lineage: Bacteria
Description: bacterial SSU rRNA
Rfam family: Bacterial small subunit ribosomal RNA
Source: RNAcentral
CCCUACGGGACGCAGCAGUGGGGAAUAUUGCACAAUGGGGGAAACCCUGAUGCAGCGACGCCGCGUGAGUGAAGAAGUAAUUCGUUACGUAAAGCUCUAUCAGCAGGGAAGAAACACUGACCUUACGGUCAGCAGACGGUACCUGAGUAAGAAGCCCCGGCUAACUACGCGCCAGCAGCCGCGGUAAUACGUAGGGGGCGAGCGUUAUCCGGAUUCACUGGGUGUAAAGGGAGCGUAGACGGCCAUGCAAGCCAGGGGUGAAAGCCCGGGGCCCAACCCCGGGACUGCCCUUGGAACUGCAUGGC